UACAGAGGUCCCAAGCGUUGUUCGGAUUCACUGGGCGUAAAGGGUGCGUAGGUGGUGAGGUAAGUCGGAUGUGAAAUCUCCGAGCUCAACUCGGAAAUGGCAUUGGAAACUACCUUGCUCGAGGGUUGGAGGGGGUACUGGAAUACUUGGUGUAGCAGUGAAAUGCGUAGAUAUCAAGUGGAACACCAGUGGCGAAGGCGAGUCUCUGGACAUUUCCUGACGCUGAGGCACGAAAGCCAGGGGAGCAAACGGG
Molecule: ribosomal RNA, 253 nt
Filed under: uncultured bacterium
Lineage: Bacteria
Description: partial 16S ribosomal RNA
Rfam family: Bacterial small subunit ribosomal RNA
Source: RNAcentral